Molecule: ribosomal RNA, 445 nt
Filed under: uncultured bacterium
Lineage: Bacteria
Description: partial 16S ribosomal RNA
Rfam family: Bacterial small subunit ribosomal RNA
Source: RNAcentral
GUGAGGAAUAUUGGUCAAUGGGCGGGAGCCUGAACCAGCCAAGUCGCGUGAAGGAAGAAGGAUCUAUGGUUCGUAAACUUCUUUUGCAGGGGAAUAAAGUGCAGGACGUGUCCUGUUUUGUAUGUACCCUGAGAAUAAGGAUCGGCUAACUCCGUGCCAGCAGCCGCGGUAAUACGGAGGAUCCGAGCGUUAUCCGGAUUUAUUGGGUUUAAAGGGUGCGUAGGUGGUUUGAUAAGUCAGCGGUGAAAGUUUGCAGCUUAACUGUAAAAAUGCCGUUGAAACUGUCAGACUUGAGUGUAAAUGAGGUAGGCGGAAUGCGUGGUGUAGCGGUGAAAUGCAUAGAUAUCACGCAGAACUCCGAUUGCGAAGGCAGCUUACUAAGCUACAACUGACACUGAAGCACGAAAGCGUGGGGAUCAAACAGGAUUAGAUACCCCAGUAGUCC